UGGGGCUCAGUCCGGGGUCUUUAAACAUGCAAGUCGAACGAACCUUCGGGUUAGUGGCGGACGGGUGAGUAACGCGUGAGAAUCUGCCCUCAGGAGGGGGACAACAGCUGGAAACGGCUGCUAAUACCCCAUAUGCCGAGAGGUGAAAUGAAUUUCGCCUGAGGAUGAGCCCGCGUCUGAUUAGCUAGUUGGUGAGGUAAGAGCUCACCAAGGCAUCGAUCAGUAGCUGGUCUGAGAGGAUGAUCAGCCACACUGGGACUGAGACACGGCCCAGACUCCUACGGGAGGCAGCAGUGGGGAAUUUUCCGCAAUGGGCGAAAGCCUGACGGAGCAACGCCGCGUGAGGGAUGAAGGCCUCUGGGCUGUAAACCUCUUUUCUCAAGGAAGAAGAUCUGACGGUACUUGAGGAAUAAGCCACGGCUAAUUCCGUGCCAGCAGCCGCGGUAAUACGGGAGUGGCAAGCGUUAUCCGGAAUUAUUGGGCGUAAAGCGUCCGCAGGCGGCCCUUCAAGUCUGCUGUUAAAACGUGGAGCUUAACUCCAUCAUGGCAGUGGAAACUGUUGGGCUCGAGUGUGGUAGGGGCAGAGGGAAUUCCCGGUGUAGCGGUGAAAUGCGUAGAUAUCGGGAAGAACACCAGUGGCGAAGGCGCUCUGCUGGGCCAUAACUGACGCUCAUGGACGAAAGCCAGGGGAGCGAAAGGGAUUAGAUACCCCUGUAGUCCUGGCCGUAAACGAUGAACACUAGGUGUCGGGGGAAUCGACCCCCUCGGUGUCGUAGCCAACGCGUUAAGUGUUCCGCCUGGGGAGCACGCACGCAAGUGUGAAACUCAAAGGAAUUGACGGGGGCCCGCACAAGCGGUGGAGUAUGUGGUUUAAUUCGAUGCAACGCGAAGAACCUUACCAGGGUUUGACAUCCUGCGAAUCUCCUGGAAACGGGAGAGUGCCUUCGGGAACGCAGUGACAGGUGGUGCAUGGCUGUCGUUAGCUCGUGUCGUGAGAUGUUGGGGUUAAGUCCCGCAACGAGCGCAACCCACGUCUUUAGUUGCCAGCAUUCAGUUGGGCA
This 1061-nucleotide ribosomal RNA is filed under the name uncultured bacterium. RNAcentral describes it as "bacterial SSU rRNA". It matches the Rfam family "Bacterial small subunit ribosomal RNA", at positions 31 to 1137 of the family's 1533-position model. The record is from RNAcentral.